Molecule: long non-coding RNA, 245 nt
Filed under: Serinus canaria (Common canary)
Lineage: Eukaryota; Metazoa; Chordata; Aves; Passeriformes; Fringillidae
Description: lncRNA (ENSSCAG00000015446.1)
Source: RNAcentral
CUCUGCCAGGGCUCACAGCCACCUGCCCUGCUCCCCCUCCCCAGUCCCAGGUGCCUCUCCCUGCAGGACAAGGCAGAGCUGCUCUCAAGGAGCUAUGGGGAAUAACCUGAGCGUGCCAGAGGAAGCUGAGGAUGACAACACCUGCACAGUGAAGAGUUACCAGCCUCUCCCGGAGUCUCCCGAUGGUAUUACAAAUGGAUCUGUGGUGUUUGCUCAGAGCCCUCCCCUGGCAGUGAAUGGUGAAG